This 428-nucleotide long non-coding RNA is filed under the name Homo sapiens (human). Its description in RNAcentral is "NARF antisense RNA 2, transcript variant 4 (NARF-AS2)". Lineage: Eukaryota; Metazoa; Chordata; Mammalia; Primates; Hominidae. The record is from RNAcentral.
ACUCCACGUACGGCGCCGGGGGGACCGGGUCCUUGCGCCGGUUUCCGCUUCUCGUGGGUCCUGCGGCGGCGGCGGCGGCCAAGCGGCGUUCACCAGGGAGUCGUUUCGGCCCAAUUGACCAGUAUUCCUUACUGAUAAGAGACACUGACCAUGGAGUGGUUCUGGUGAGAUGACAUGACCCUCGUGAAGGGGCCUGAAGCUUCAUUGUGUUUGUGUAUGUUUCUCUCUUCAAAAAUAUUCAUGACUUCUCCUGUAGCUUGAUAAAUAUGUAUAUUUACACACUGCACCUCAUAGAUUCCUGUUCCCUUUGCCCCUCCCUGGAAGUGUCUGUUUCUGGCUUCUGGCCAGAGGCAGUGCUUCCCUGUCUGUCAGAAUGGCCACCCUGCAGGCUGAAACCCUUUAUGAGAAGUAAAGCUCUCCUUUCCAGA